Molecule: long non-coding RNA, 1111 nt
Organism: Saccostrea echinata
Lineage: Eukaryota; Metazoa; Mollusca; Bivalvia; Ostreida; Ostreidae
Exons: 4
Source: RefSeq, a predicted model, not a curated record
ACGAGAUCUGCACCAGUUCCUGUAAGAUUUAUACAGGAACUGGAUGUGUGGUUUUGGAUUUAUGCGUUUAACGUCUCUACAGCAAUGUUAUUUCACAGAGUUCUGGAGCUGCACCUCGAUCGCACCAUACCUCUAUCUUGAAACACAGUUGUGGUAUAUAGAUUUAGACAAUCGGUCAUCUACAAGAUGCCUCUGCACAAGUCAGAUAUAACUGUGAACAAAACCCUUAGUUCAAGUGACGUAUCCCACUCACAUCAGAUACAGAGGUAUUUAUGACAGUUAAAGAAGCUUUGAAAUCAGUGUGGAUGUGGAUAUUAAAACUACUCGGAAGGAUGAGGAAAGGAGCCCUUUAAAAGAUCAUGCAUUUAUGAAAGAAGACAGCAUCAGCACUGCCUUAAGAUUCCAGUUGAGACCUUUAUUUGUGUACUAACAGUCAGAAGAUUAAAAAAGGACAAUAGCAGAAUGAAACACAUGCUAGCAGACACUGAUGUAAUUGAAUCCAGAAUAUGGUGAUCAAUUUUGAAUGAUUUUAUCCUCUGGUUGAAAUGAUAUUGAUCAAUUUAAAAAGUGGUUGACAAUGAAUUCUAAAUAUAUGUAUUUUGUUUACAUGGCUUAUUAACUCUGUAAAGUUUGCAAUGUUUUGGGGUUUUUUGCCCUCUCAUUGAAUGUACAUGUAUUGUAAUAGCUGUUACCUAGUACAUGGUUUUUAGUACCCUGCUACCAUAUAUGGAUAGUGAAGGGUGUUACUUGAUUAAUCUCAGGAAGUUUAUUUAUUGUUCCUGUUGUCUAUUUUUUCAUAUCGUUACUAUUCUUCAUUUGCUUCUUGUUAAUAGAAAACAUCAUGUGAUAUUUUUAUUUUUCAUUAAUGCACCUUAAUUAACUACUGUGACAGUCAAAAAAAUCAAAAACUUUCAUAAGAAGGAGUGGCACAUUUUAAUUCUGGAUUUUAAAUCUAUUUGCCUGAUUUAGUACUGUAUGUCUUUACCAUCAGCAAACAUAAUUAAAAUAAUUUUACAAGUGCAUAAGCAAUAUGAGGUAUUUUUAAAGAAUUUUACUACGAUUUUAAAAUAUGGAAUUAUCAUUAAUUUGCAUGUAGCUUAAACUUUUAUGA